Asterias rubens (European starfish) is the source of this 416-nucleotide long non-coding RNA. RefSeq lists it as uncharacterized. The transcript is spliced from 3 exons. The record is from RefSeq and is a predicted model, not a curated record. NCBI's taxonomy places the organism in Eukaryota, Metazoa, Echinodermata, Asteroidea, Forcipulatida, Asteriidae.
GUAACAAUGCAAGAAGUGCUUUGAGACGCCCUUAAGAAAGAAUUCAAAGUGAAUUGCGACGUACACAAAGUCUGCGCUUUCAUCCAUUGGCUCCAUCACUUUAAGGAUGCAUUUGAUGUCGGAGGCUUUUUCGGGAAGAAGUCGUCCCCAUUUUCAAACAUUUCGAACGUUCGCAGAGAGUGUGGAGAAGAUAGUAUAAUGAUGUGUUUGGGUAUGUUAACUUUAUGUAAUGAUGAUCAUUAUUGAAAUAUUAGUAACGUUAUAAAGCAGUUAUUAAAAAGGGAAGUAUUUUGAGGGCGGUCCAACUCUGUGAUUUUAUUAUCUAUAACUGUAGUGUGAUGUUAAAUGCACCGAUGGACAUUAUUGGUAAUUACACAAAAUGAUUGUUAGCAUAAAAACUUACUUGGUAACGAGCA